GAUUGAACGCUGGCGGCAGGCCUAACACAUGCAAGUCGAGCGGUAGCACAGAGAGCUUGCUCUCGGGUGACGAGCGGCGGACGGGUGAGUAAUGUCUGGGAAACUGCCUGAUGGAGGGGGAUAACUACUGGAAACGGUAGCUAAUACCGCAUAAUGUCGCAAGACCAAAGUGGGGGACCUUCGGGCCUCAUGCCAUCAGAUGUGCCCAGAUGGGAUUAGCUAGUAGGUGGGGUAACGGCUCACCUAGGCGACGAUCCCUAGCUGGUCUGAGAGGAUGACCAGCCACACUGGAACUGAGACACGGUCCAGACUCCUACGGGAGGCAGCAGUGGGGAAUAUUGCACAAUGGGCGCAAGCCUGAUGCAGCCAUGCCGCGUGUGUGAAGAAGGCCUUCGGGUUGUAAAGCACUUUCAGCGGGGAGGAAGGCGGUGAGGUUAAUAACCUCAUCGAUUGACGUUACCCGCAGAAGAAGCACCGGCUAACUCCGUGCCAGCAGCCGCGGUAAUACGGAGGGUGCAAGCGUUAAUCGGAAUUACUGGGCGUAAAGCGCACGCAGGCGGUCUGUCAAGUCGGAUGUGAAAUCCCCGGGCUCAACCUGGGAACUGCAUUCGAAACUGGCAGGCUAGAGUCUUGUAGAGGGGGGUAGAAUUCCAGGUGUAGCGGUGAAAUGCGUAGAGAUCUGGAGGAAUACCGGUGGCGAAGGCGGCCCCCUGGACAAAGACUGACGCUCAGGUGCGAAAGCGUGGGGAGCAAACAGGAUUAGAUACCCUGGUAGUCCACGCCGUAAACGAUGUCGAUUUGGAGGUUGUGCCCUUGAGGCGUGGCUUCCGGAGCUAACGCGUUAAAUCGACCGCCUGGGGAGUACGGCCGCAAGGUUAAAACUCAAAUGAAUUGACGGGGGCCCGCACAAGCGGUGGAGCAUGUGGUUUAAUUCGAUGCAACGCGAAGAACCUUACCUGGUCUUGACAUCCACAGAACUUUCCAGAGAUGGAUUGGUGCCUUCGGGAACUGUGAGACAGGUGCUGCAUGGCUGUCGUCAGCUCGUGUUGUGAAAUGUUGGGUUAAGUCCCGCAACGAGCGCAACCCUUAUCCUUUGUUGCCAGCGGUCCGGCCGGGAACUCAAAGGAGACUGCCAGUGAUAAACUGGAGGAAGGUGGGGAUGACGUCAAGUCAUCAUGGCCCUUACGACCAGGGCUACACACGUGCUACAAUGGCAUAUACAAAGAGAAGCGACCUCGCGAGAGCAAGCGGACCUCAUAAAGUAUGUCGUAGUCCGGAUUGGAGUCUGCAACUCGACUCCAUGAAGUCGGAAUCGCUAGUAAUCGUAGAUCAGAAUGCUACGGUGAAUACGUUCCCGGGCCUUGUACACACCGCCCGUCACACCAUGGGAGUGGGUUGCAAAAGAAGUAGGUAGCUUAACCUUCGGGAGGGCGCUUACCACUUUGUGAUUCAUGANUGGGGUGAAGUCGUAACAAGG
This 1477-nucleotide ribosomal RNA is filed under the name uncultured bacterium. RNAcentral describes it as "bacterial SSU rRNA". It matches the Rfam family "Bacterial small subunit ribosomal RNA". The record is from RNAcentral.